Long non-coding RNA from Haliotis rubra (blacklip abalone), 114 nucleotides. RefSeq lists it as uncharacterized. The transcript is spliced from 3 exons. NCBI's taxonomy places the organism in Eukaryota, Metazoa, Mollusca, Gastropoda, Lepetellida, Haliotidae. The record is from RefSeq and is a predicted model, not a curated record.
UUUAUUAAAACUGAGUAUGUUACUCUGUUUAAAGUGUUUACGGUGUUAAAAGUAAAAGUUUGAUUCAAUUCUGUGCCACUGUUGAGUGUGUUACUGUGUUGAAGAAUUAAAGUC